UACAGAGGGUGCGAGCGUUGUUCGGAAUCACUGGGCGUAAAGCGCGCGCAGGCGGCCCUUUAAGUCUGCCGGUCAAAUGCCGGGGCUCAACCCCGAGCUCGCCGGAGAUACUGGAGGGCUGGAGACACGUAGAGGCAAGCGGAAUUCCGGGUGUAGCGGUGGAAUGCGUAGAGAUCCGGAAGAACACCGGAGGCGAAGGCGGCUUGCUGGGCGUGAUCUGACGCUGAGGCGCGAAAGCGUGGGGAGCGAACAGG
Molecule: ribosomal RNA, 254 nt
Filed under: uncultured bacterium
Lineage: Bacteria
Description: partial 16S ribosomal RNA
Rfam family: Bacterial small subunit ribosomal RNA
Source: RNAcentral